GAGUAACGCGUAGGUAAUCUACCCUAAUAUUUGGGAUAACAUUGGGAAACUGGUGCUAAUACCAGAUACCCUUCUUUUCUGUCGGGUUAAGGAGGAAAGGUGGCCUCUUCAUGAAGGCUACCGUAUAAGGAUGAGCCUGCGUACCAUUAGCUAGUAGGUGGGGUAAUGGCCCACCUAGGCAACGAUGGUUAGCGGGUCUGAGAGAAUGAUCCGCCACACUGGAACUGGAACACGGACCAG
Molecule: ribosomal RNA, 240 nt
Filed under: uncultured bacterium
Lineage: Bacteria
Description: partial 16S ribosomal RNA
Rfam family: Bacterial small subunit ribosomal RNA
Source: RNAcentral